This 496-nucleotide ribosomal RNA is filed under the name uncultured bacterium. RNAcentral's name for it is "partial 16S ribosomal RNA". It matches the Rfam family "Bacterial small subunit ribosomal RNA", at positions 28 to 506 of the family's 1533-position model. The record is from RNAcentral.
GAUGAACGCUGGCGGCGUGCCUAAUACAUGCAAGUCGAGCGAACGGACGAGAAGCUUGCUUCUCUGAUGUUAGCGGCGGACGGGUGAGUAACACGUGGAUAACCUACCUAUAAGACUGGGAUAACUUCGGGAAACCGGAGCUAAUACCGGAUAAUAUUUUGAACCGCAUGGUUCAAAAGUGAAAGACGGUCUUGCUGUCACUUAUAGAUGGAUCCGCGCUGCAUUAGCUAGUUGGUAAGGUAACGGCUUACCAAGGCAACGAUGCAUAGCCGACCUGAGAGGGGGAGCGGCCACCUUGGAACGGAGACACGGUCCAGACCCCUACGGGAGGCAGCAGGAGGGAACCUUCCGAAAUGGGCGAAAGCCUGACGGAGCAACGCCGCGGGAGUGAGGAAGGUUUUCGGAUCGAAAAACUCUGUUAUUAGGAAAGAAAAUAUGUGUAAGUAACGGUGCAAAUUUUGACGGUACCAAAUCAAAAAGCCACGGCUAACUACGU